Molecule: non-coding RNA, 75 nt
Organism: Phrynosoma platyrhinos (Desert horned lizard)
Lineage: Eukaryota; Metazoa; Chordata; Lepidosauria; Squamata; Phrynosomatidae
Source: the annotation of a GenBank genome assembly
GCCAGUGUGCUUAGUGGUAUAUAUAAGUAUUGGAUUAGGACUCAGGAGACCCAGGUUCAAAUCCUUGCUCAGCCA